Molecule: ribosomal RNA, 2929 nt
Filed under: Cronobacter dublinensis subsp. dublinensis LMG 23823
Lineage: Bacteria; Pseudomonadati; Pseudomonadota; Gammaproteobacteria; Enterobacterales; Enterobacteriaceae
Description: bacterial LSU rRNA
Rfam family: Bacterial large subunit ribosomal RNA
Source: RNAcentral
GGGUUGUGAGGUUAAGCGAACAAGCGUACACGGUGGAUGCCCUGGCAGUCAGAGGCGAUGAAGGACGUGCUAAUCUGCGAAAAGCGCCGGUAAGGUGAUAUGAACCGUUAUAGCCGGCGAUGUCCGAAUGGGGAAACCCAGUGUGAUUCGUCACACUAUCUCAGCAUGAAUACAUAGUGCUGUGAGGCGAACCGGGGGAACUGAAACAUCUAAGUACCCCGAGGAAAAGAAAUCAACCGAGAUUCCCCCAGUAGCGGCGAGCGAACGGGGAACAGCCCAGAGCCUGAAUCAGUUUGUAUGUCAGUGGAACGGUCUGGAAAGGCCGGCGAUACAGGGUGACAGCCCCGUACACGAAGGCACACAGGCUGUGAGCUCGAUGAGUAGGGCGGGACACGUGAUAUCCUGUCUGAAGAUGGGGGGACCAUCCUCCAAGGCUAAAUACUCCUGACUGACCGAUAGUGAACCAGUACCGUGAGGGAAAGGCGAAAAGAACCCCGGCGAGGGGAGUGAAACAGAACCUGAAACCGUGUACGUACAAGCAGUGGGAGCCUUCGUAAGAGGGUGACUGCGUACCUUUUGUAUAAUGGGUCAGCGACUUAUAUUCUGUAGCAAGGUUAACCGUAUAGGGGAGCCGAAGGGAAACCGAGUCUUAAUUGGGCGUUAAGUUGCAGGGUAUAGACCCGAAACCCGGUGAUCUAGCCAUGGGCAGGUUGAAGGUUGGGUAACACUAACUGGAGGACCGAACCGACUAAUGUUGAAAAAUUAGCGGAUGACCUGUGGCUGGGGGUGAAAGGCCAAUCAAACCGGGAGAUAGCUGGUUCUCCCCGAAAGCUAUUUAGGUAGCGCCUCGUGAACUCAUCUUCGGGGGUAGAGCACUGUUUCGGCUAGGGGGCCAUCCCGGCUUACCAACCCGAUGCAAACUACGAAUACCGAAGAAUGUUAUCACGGGAGACACACGGCGGGUGCUAACGUCCGUCGUGAAGAGGGAAACAACCCAGACCGCCAGCUAAGGUCCCAAAGUCAUGGUUAAGUGGGAAACGAUGUGGGAAGGCACAGACAGCCAGGAUGUUGGCUUAGAAGCAGCCAUCAUUUAAAGAAAGCGUAAUAGCUCACUGGUCGAGUCGGCCUGCGCGGAAGAUGUAACGGGGCUAAACCAUGCACCGAAGCUGCGGCAGCGACACUAUGUGUUGUUGGGUAGGGGAGCGUUCUGUAAGCCUGUGAAGGUGUGCUGUGAGGCAUGCUGGAGGUAUCAGAAGUGCGAAUGCUGACAUAAGUAACGAUAAAGCGGGUGAAAAGCCCGCUCGCCGGAAGACCAAGGGUUCCUGUCCAACGUUAAUCGGGGCAGGGUGAGUCGACCCCUAAGGCGAGGCCGAAAGGCGUAGUCGAUGGGAAACAGGUUAAUAUUCCUGUACUUGGUGUUACUGCGAAGGGGGGACGGAGAAGGCUAUGUUGGCCGGGCGACGGUUGUCCCGGUUUAAGCGUGUAGGUGUGUGUUCCAGGUAAAUCCGGUUCACUUUAACACUGAGGCGUGAUGACGAGGCACUACGGUGCUGAAGUAACAAAUGCCCUGCUUCCAGGAAAAGCCUCUAAGCAUCAGGUAACAUCAAAUCGUACCCCAAACCGACACAGGUGGUCAGGUAGAGAAUACCAAGGCGCUUGAGAGAACUCGGGUGAAGGAACUAGGCAAAAUGGUGCCGUAACUUCGGGAGAAGGCACGCUGACAUGUAGGUGAAGCCCCUGCGGGUGGAGCUGAAGUCAGUCGAAGAUACCAGCUGGCUGCAACUGUUUAUUAAAAACACAGCACUGUGCAAACACGAAAGUGGACGUAUACGGUGUGACGCCUGCCCGGUGCCGGAAGGUUAAUUGAUGGGGUUAUCGCAAGAGAAGCUCCUGAUCGAAGCCCCGGUAAACGGCGGCCGUAACUAUAACGGUCCUAAGGUAGCGAAAUUCCUUGUCGGGUAAGUUCCGACCUGCACGAAUGGCGUAAUGAUGGCCAGGCUGUCUCCACCCGAGACUCAGUGAAAUUGAACUCGCUGUGAAGAUGCAGUGUACCCGCGGCAAGACGGAAAGACCCCGUGAACCUUUACUACAGCUUGACACUGAACAUUGAGCCUUGAUGUGUAGGAUAGGUGGGAGGCUUUGAAGCGUGGACGCCAGUCUGCGUGGAGCCAACCUUGAAAUACCACCCUUUAAUGUUUGAUGUUCUAACCUGGCGCCAUAAUCUGGCGUGGGGACAGUGUCUGGUGGGUAGUUUGACUGGGGCGGUCUCCUCCCAAAGUGUAACGGAGGAGCACGAAGGUCAGCUAAUCCUGGUCGGACAUCAGGAGGUUAGUGCAAUGGCAUAAGCUGGCUUGACUGCGAGAGUGACGGCUCGAGCAGGUGCGAAAGCAGGUCAUAGUGAUCCGGUGGUUCUGUAUGGAAGGGCCAUCGCUCAACGGAUAAAAGGUACUCCGGGGAUAACAGGCUGAUACCGCCCAAGAGUUCAUAUCGACGGCGGUGUUUGGCACCUCGAUGUCGGCUCAUCACAUCCUGGGGCUGAAGUAGGUCCCAAGGGUAUGGCUGUUCGCCAUUUAAAGUGGUACGCGAGCUGGGUUUAGAACGUCGUGAGACAGUUCGGUCCCUAUCUGCCGUGGGCGCUGGAGAAUUGAGGGGGGCUGCUCCCAGUACGAGAGGACCGGAGUGGACGCAUCACUGGUGUUCGGGUUGUCAUGCCAAUGGCACUGCCCGGUAGCUAAAUGCGGAAGAGAUAAGUGCUGAAAGCAUCUAAGCACGAAACUUGCCCCGAGAUGAGUUCUCCCUGAGACUAUAAGUCUCCUGAAGGAACGUUGAAGACGACGACGUUGAUAGGCCGGGUGUGUAAGCGCAGCGAUGCGUUGAGCUAACCGGUACUAAUGAACCGUGAGGCUUAACCUUACAACGCCAAAGAAGU